This 2186-nucleotide long non-coding RNA is filed under the name Cricetulus griseus (Chinese hamster). Its description in RNAcentral is "lncRNA (ENSCGRG00015038862.1)". The record is from RNAcentral. Lineage: Eukaryota; Metazoa; Chordata; Mammalia; Rodentia; Cricetidae.
CUCUGCUGGGUGGAAUGUCACUGAAGACGACAUCUAGAUGUUUAAAUAGGUAGUAAGGACUGCAGUCUUGUUUCAGUGUGGGUCUUAGGUCUCUGAUUGGUAUAGUAUGAAGCACACUGUAGACAGGCUUUGACAACUUGUUUGGUCAAUGUCAGCAACAACCAGGUCACCAAAUGUCUUUGCAACAAAUCUUGUAGGGUAAGUUUCCAGACAGGUUGUUCCAAGAGAUGACCAGAUUAGGGUAGAAUUGUCAUCUCAAGAGUUACUAUUUCAUGUCUGUGGUAACCAGCUAGCCUCCUGGUUUUCAGUAGCCCCUUCUUCAGUUGUUCUUUUUCUUCCUUCUGGCUUUCUGUGGUAAUGUGUCCCCAUGGACUCCAGAUAGAGAAUGUCCUUUUGUGUAUGUUUACCGCGUUGGCUGUUGAAUAAAGUACUGUUGGCCAAUGAAGGAGCAAGUGAGGCAGGACGAGGAGUCAAGGAGGAUUCUCUGAAAUGUAGUAAAGAAGUGUUGGGAUCCAGGCAGGAAGUGACUGCUCUGCAGUCGCCAUGUGACCGCCAGGAAGACAGGACCCAUUCUGCUUGCGUCCUGCAUAAGAGAAGUCUUAUGAUUAUGGCUGAUGAUUGAGACUGAACUAGUGUAAUGGAGUCAGAACUGGGAUGACCCCAUGCCUCGAGGUUCCCAGAGGAACAGGGGAACCUGCUGCUGUGAGCCUCCAGUCACUGCAAGCCAGGAGCUGCCAUUCGCCACAGGCCGCCAGGCGCCACGAGCCACCUUCCCAGGACUGAUCAAGUGGAGAAAGAACCCCGGGCAGCUGGGGUAAUGUUACAAACUUCCGUGUAAACUUCACAAAAGCUUAAAAAGGGAUUUUUUGGAAUCAAAGGAACAGAGACAAGCAUGACUCUUGUUAGCAUCAUUUUCUUGGGUGGUCUCUCUUUUGCUAAAGACAAGCAGAGACUCGAGCAGUACCUUUAAGAGAGGUUUCCUGACUCAGCCUAAGAGGGAGAAAAAACGCAGGGCUCUUUGUAAGAGGCCCGGCUAGCUCAUUCGUAGAGCAUGAGACUCUUAAUGUCAGGGCUGUGAGUUUGUGCCCCAUGUAGCCGGCAGUGGAAGUGACCACAUCUCCAAGCCGGCAGCAUGCUCCUUGGUUGCAGCAUAUACCAAGGCAGUGAGCAUAGCUCUCAGAGCUGAUGGUAAAGGUACCUCCAACGUCUGGGAAAGACAGCAGCUAAGAAAGCCGCCACUUUAAUUUUGGCGGUGGUUUAACAGUUAAAAGACUGUGUGUCCAGAAAAACGGUAAAGAUUUACAAUAAAAACAGAUGAAGAAAACCCUCUAAAGGUUUGCAUUGUAUUUAAAAGUAUAUGUAGGCUUGUGAGAGAAUUAGAAACCGGAGGAAUUGGAGUAGCUGGGUGUGGUGGCACACGCCUUUAAUCCCAGCACUCCAGAAGCAGAGGCAGGCAGAUGUCCACAGAGAAUCCCUAUCUCAGGACAAAAGAAACAAAAAAGUAGAAGAAAUAGAAUAAUAAAAAGCCAUAUAAAGAUGGAAAAAACUCACAGUCUGGACACUAUAUGCUGUCUUUAAAUUGUUUGAGUGCUGAGGAAAGAGCUUCAGCUCUUCCAAUAUAUUUGAUUAUCAAUGCUGCUAAAUUAAUCCAAUUUAUAUAUUUUAAAGAUGCUUUGACUUCAAAAUUUAUGUCUAAGGACAGGCUACUUGGAAAAAGAUUUCUUGCUUUUGUUUUCAUAGCAAAUGAAAAGCUGUGGAUUCCUUCCAGACUAAUAGGAUUUGAUUAGGCCAGACCCCACGAAGCAGUGAUCCAAUUGAUCCUAUAUCCAAAACAGAUGAGAUGAUGCAGUCAUAGACCACUAUAGCCAGGAUUUCUGUGUUUUAUCAUGACCCCCAUGGUAUGGACAUUGCCCCCAGCCAGCAGGAUGCAGUUUGGAAUGAACAACGCCCAAAUUCCCAAAUAUUCUUCAUAAAUGUUUGUUUUCAUUUAAAUGUGGUUGGUUAUAAAUGGCAAUGACCGCAGUCAAUCUCCUUUUAAAGAAAAAGAGGGAAAUAGGAUACAGGAAUGUAUACUUUGCAUUGGUAUGGAUUCUCAUUUAUUGAUACAAAUAUAAAGUCAAUUUUGUGACAUGUAUAUUUCUCCUCUUGUUUAGGUAUUAUGUCUAUACUGAUCUUUUAAAAUGUAA